UCUAAUUGUUGCAUGCAUGGGUAAGCAAAAAUGAAAGAAAUUCUUAAGUUUUUUUACACUAUGAUACUCUUUGUUUCCCUAUUUAUUGUUGUAAUCAAUGUUGGUGGAAAGUGUAUAUCUCACAUGCAUUGUAUAUAUCUUUCCUGUGGUUUUCCUCAAUUAACAUAUUGCCUUCAAAAUCAAUGUUACUGCCUUAACAUAUGAUAUUCAACAUGGUCAUGGCAAGCAAUAGAUGAGUCUUCACUUUUGAAAGAAGACCCCAAAGAUUGUGUUUGUUGUAUUCCAAACUAUUUCACGUUGUUAUUUGAUUUAUUUUCGUGUUUUCA
This is a long non-coding RNA of Medicago truncatula (barrel medic), 326 nucleotides long. RefSeq lists it as uncharacterized. Lineage: Eukaryota; Viridiplantae; Streptophyta; Magnoliopsida; Fabales; Fabaceae. The record is from RefSeq and is a predicted model, not a curated record. The transcript is spliced from 3 exons.